Molecule: ribosomal RNA, 325 nt
Filed under: uncultured bacterium
Lineage: Bacteria
Description: bacterial SSU rRNA
Rfam family: Bacterial small subunit ribosomal RNA
Source: RNAcentral
GAUGAACGCUGGCGGCGUGCUUAACACAUGCAAGUCGAGCGGAAGCAAGGACACGGAAUUUUUCGGAAGGAAGUGUGUUUGCUUUAGCGGCGGACGGGUGAGUAACGCGUGGAUAACCUGCCUCAUACAGGGGGAUAACAGUUAGAAAUGACUGCUAAUACCGCAUAAGCACCCGGGAGCGCAUGCUCCUGGGUGAAAAGCUCCGGCGGUAUGAGAUGGAUCCGCGUCUGAUUAGCUGGUUGGCGGGGUAACGGCCCACCAAGGCGACGAUCAGUAGCCGACCUGAGAGGGUGGCCGGCCACAUUGGGACUGAGACACGGCCCAA